Molecule: ribosomal RNA, 516 nt
Filed under: uncultured bacterium
Lineage: Bacteria
Description: partial 16S ribosomal RNA
Rfam family: Bacterial small subunit ribosomal RNA
Source: RNAcentral
ACUCAAAGGAAUUGACGGGGGCCCGCACAAGCGGUGGAACAUGUGGUUUAAUUCGAAGCUACGCGAAAAACCUCACCAGGGCUUGACAUACAAGAAGUAGUGAAGUGAAAGCGGAACGACCCGUUAAGUCGGGAGCUUGUACAGGUGCUGCAUGGCUGUCGUCAGCUCGUGUCGUGAGAUGUUGGGUUAAGUCCCGCAACGAGCGCAACCAUUAUCCUUUGUUGCCACUUUUACUGGGCUUGCUCAGUAAGAAGCACUCUAAGGAGACUGCCCGGGAUAACCGGGAGGAAGGUGGAGAUGACGUCAAGUCAGUACGGCCCUUAUGCCCUGGGCGACACACGUGUUACAAUGGGUGGGACAAAGGGUUGCCAACCAGCGAUGGGGAGCUAAUCUCAAAAACCCACCCCCAGUUCAGAUCGGAGUCUGCAAUUCGACUCCGUGAAGCCGGAAUCGCUAGUAAUGGGAGAUCAGCACGCUCCCGUGAAUACGUUCCCGGGCCUUGUACACACCGCCCGU